UUAUGCUUAUAUAUUAAUGAUCUUGAUAGGAGCACUUGUUUGCAGAAGGCAGAUAACUUAACUGGAAUUUUGUCUAUAUUAUAAUUUCACAUCAAAAUAAAACUAAGACCACCAAUAUUUGAUAAAACAUAAUGAUCUCCGCUUUGAAGUGCAUACUGCACAUGACCGUACUCUGGCAUAUCACUUGAAAGGAAGGACAUUCAUUCCGUCUAAUUAAUUUCACCCAUGAUUUCCUCUGUCCUUUGUUUUUUCGUGGAAAUUGAGGUAAGGAUGUUGUUGUUUUUUAAGCUGGAGCAGUCGGGAACGCUGCAAUAACAGCGACGAGACGACUCUGCCAUUCUAUCUUACUCUGUUCCAUUGGAACCGGAUGUUGUGGUCCGCCGUUUCGCUUACCGGAACCAGGAAGUGUGAAAAAAGGCCUAUAGAGAUUUAUUAUGAUGAAUGACAUGAAAUUAAGGUAGUACACAUGAUUGAUAGUUUGGUGCCCCCUAGUGGUUAAGAAAAUGUAGGCGUUUUUCUUUAAGAUGUCCUUGCGCAGCUACCGUAGUUCAGCAGACGAUGGCUGAUGCUGCUACUGGUAAGCGUGCUCUGAACACAGGAGCGAAAAUAUAGUGAUUAAAGUGUGUAACAUGAUUAUUUUUGGAUAUAUAUAAGAGUGAUUGAGCUGUCAACAAAUGUAUAAUGCUUCUAAUAGAUUUUAACUGUGAAUAUGCAUUAAGAAAUGCCAGCUUUGUGUUUCUCAUAGUAAAAACCGCAUGUUGCUAUCAAAGUAUUAUAUUAUGGAAUGACGCAAGACCACACUUAAAGUGACACUGUUGUUUAUCUUACAUCUUUUGUUUAUUUCAGUUUUGUCUGCAGUAUAUUGUCCUGUUACAUGUGAUGUGAUGUUAUGUGAUGGUUUGUUUCUCAGGUAACAACACUAUGGAGACUUGCCGCAAAUGAGCAGAUUGUGGCAAUUAACAAGUCUGCUCAUUACAGAUGUGAAAUCAUUGUGCGACAUGCAGAGUUAUUGACUCUGCGGCCCCAUGACAGAUUGUGUGGAGAAGUUAUGGAAAGUUACAUUCGGGCUGUCCUUAACAAAUAUGAUCAGGACAAAUUUAUCAGCUCAACCACUACAUCACCGGGGUCAUUUUAUAUGGACAAAAAGAGCAGGUGGCUCGACAAGGCUUGAAGAAUUACCUUCAUCUUCCAUCCAGCCAAAUAUUUGUAGUGGAUCCUGCGUGUGGCACAACUGACAACAGUAUCCUGAUGAACACAGCACAACAGUUUCAGUUAGUUUUAUAAUUACGUUGAUAAAUGAUUUUAUGUAUCUAUGAAUGUCUAAUAAUGAUACCGUGUAUGUUGUUGUCAAAGACAGACAGUACUUCAUGCGCCUAAAACACCAAUGGAGGAAUGAAUGGGCCCAAAUUAAUUAGACAUGUGGGCAAUAUACAGUACACUACACUUUACUAGUGUACACUUUUGCUUAGGACAAUCUUAGGAUAUGUGCAGCAUGCCCCUAAACCUUACAGCAUUACAAAAAUUAUCACUUCUUGCCAAGGCCGUAAAAUUGACAGACACUAUGUUGUCCCCCAACAAUUAUUGAAAUGUCCUUCCCAUUAACUGAA
Long non-coding RNA from Danio aesculapii, 1607 nucleotides. RefSeq lists it as uncharacterized. The record is from RefSeq and is a predicted model, not a curated record. The transcript is spliced from 4 exons. Lineage: Eukaryota; Metazoa; Chordata; Actinopteri; Cypriniformes; Danionidae.